GACGAACGCUGGCGGCGUGCCUAAUACAUGCAAGUAGAACGCUGAAGGAGGAGCUUACUUCUCUGGAUGAGUUGCGAACGGGUGAGUAACGCGUAGGUAACCUGCCUGGUAGCGGGGGAUAACUAUUGGAAACGAUAGCUAAUACCGCAUAAGAGUAGAUGUUGCAUGACAUUUACUUAAAAGGUGCAAUUGCAUCACUACCAGAUGGACCUGCGUUGUAUUAGCUAGUUGGUGGGGUAACGGCUCACCAAGGCGACGAUACAUAGCCGACCUGAGAGGGUGAUCGGCCACACUGGGACUGAGACACGGCCCAGACUCCUACGGGAGGCAGCAGUAGGGAAUCUUCGGCAAUGGACGGAAGUCUGACCGAGCAACGCCGCGUGAGUGAAGAAGGUUUUCGGAUCGUAAAGCUCUGUUGUAAGAGAAGAACGAGUGUGAGAGUGGAAAGUUCACGCUGUGACGGUAUCUUACCAGAAAGGGACGGCUAACUACGUGCCAGCAGCCGCGGUAAUACGUAGGUCCCGAGCGUUGUCCGGAUUUAUUGGGCGUAAAGCGAGCGCAGGCGGUUAGAUAAGUCUGAAGUUAAAGGCUGUGGCUUAACCAUAGUACGCUUUGGAAACUGUUUAACUUGAGUGCAAGAGGGGAGAGUGGAAUUCCAUGUGUAGCGGUGAAAUGCGUAGAUAUAUGGAGGAACACCGGUGGCGAAAGCGGCUCUCUGGCUUGUAACUGACGCUGAGGCUCGAAAGCGUGGGGAGCAAACAGG
This 763-nucleotide ribosomal RNA is filed under the name uncultured Streptococcus sp. RNAcentral describes it as "bacterial SSU rRNA". It matches the Rfam family "Bacterial small subunit ribosomal RNA", at positions 28 to 776 of the family's 1533-position model. Lineage: Bacteria; Bacillati; Bacillota; Bacilli; Lactobacillales; Streptococcaceae. The record is from RNAcentral.